UCGUUUUCCUGUUUUGGAAGGGCAGAGGGGCAGAGAGGGAGCGAUAGGAGGAGGCACUCGAGCAGUGAAGGAGACAAGGCGAUUUUUGCCGGGUUCAUGGUGUUUGCGAGAUCCCUCUAUCCUCGAGCUUUGGUUUUCUCUUCGAUUCACUACUCCCCAGUUUUCAGCAUCAUUAUCUAUGGGGAGGCUACGGAAAGUCUCUCACAAGGAUGUUCCGGAAGCAUCUUCUAUUGAUAGUGCAGAUCCUUUGCAAGACCCCUUCGUGCCUAAUGACUUUGCGGAAGAUGGUUCUAAUUGUUGUAGGGCUUACACUGUAAUAUACCAGAGUUUUACCCUGUAAUAUGGUUGAGCACUGUAAUUGCUGUAGGGCUUAUACUGUAAUUUACCAGAGUUUUACACUGUAAUUGUUGUAGGGCGUACAGUAUUUGUCAGAUACAUUACAAUGGAUUUUACCUUUGAAUUGUGGGGCUUACACUGUAAUAUACUGCAUAUUUACACUGUAAUUUGAAUACUUCGGCACUAUAAUUGUUGUAGAGCUUACAGAGUAUUUUUCAGAUAGAUCACAGUGGAUUUUACGUUUAAUUUUACAGUGUAUUUAUGAGUGUUGUUUCUUGGGGAAUAACAGUGUAAUUCCAGGGGAAUUACAGUGUAAUUCGUGGGUACUUUGACUGUAAUUCGUGGAUGUUUACAGUGUAACUUCAUCAGUUAUUCAAGUGUAAAUCCUUGGGAA
Long non-coding RNA from Triticum aestivum (bread wheat), 730 nucleotides. RefSeq lists it as uncharacterized. The record is from RefSeq and is a predicted model, not a curated record. The transcript has 2 exons. NCBI's taxonomy places the organism in Eukaryota, Viridiplantae, Streptophyta, Magnoliopsida, Poales, Poaceae.